CCUGAUCAUGGAAGGAGUCUGAGCCCAUUUUCGAACAAACUGAAUUAUUAGCAUUACGUGAAACUUAGCCAAUGACAAUGAAACAGAGCUAAUAAAAAAACGUCACACCAUUACACAAGCUUUGUGAUUUGUUGAACCAUGCUCAUCAUUUGAAUUACAAUUCUCAAAAAAACGCAAAUGUCACACGUGAACUCCACAAGACAAAACGCCAGGAGUUCGUGACACAAUGUUCAAAUUCUGAAGGCAGAACUAAGCUAAAAAUUAACCCAUUUAAGCUAAAUCACAUCUUAACAAUUGCCAAAUGCAAACAGAACAUUAAUAAUAUGGAUACUUGCUACCCCAAUCCAGCAAAACUAUGACAUUGAGCCAUCCAUUUAAAAGGUACAUCAAUUGUCUUUAGCAUAUGGCCCAAAAAUCGAAUCCAUUGCACUCAAUCAAACCCAUAUACUAACCUUAAAACAAACAAGUAAUAUCAACAACUACAUUUGACGGCCAAACUAAGGCAGACAUUAUCUAACAUAUGAUGUUCAGAACUCAUAUUUGAAUUACAGAUUAUAGCUUGAAGGGCAGUAAAUGCAAUUCUCUAAAUAAAAUGAAACGGGCAAAUAAGCUAAUAUACGACCAAACUUAUUGAAGAAUAUGACUCAAAGUUCCAGAUCUCCAUUUCUUGAUUCCAAAUCAACUUUACACUUAGAGGGAAUGCAGAAGUGUACCUGAGAUUGAGAGAACAAAGAAAUAAAGUGGGAUCAGUAGUGUUAACAACAAGGAUCAACAACAGCAACAGCAGUAGAGCCCAGCAAAACAGAAAGUGAACCAACAGACCAAUUUUUAAACCAGCAGAUAAGAUACAAUAAUCCAAACACUAAUUUCAGUCACUCGAUGGACCAACAGACCUCAAGACAAACUUGACUUCAACCCAUCUUAAAACCAACUAACCAGAAAAUUGUUUUAGCACCAAGAAAACCUCAAAAAUCACCAAAAGAAAUCAAUGAAAUAGUGUUGUUCUAAAGUUUUUCAGCCCUUUGUCUUUUUCUCUAAGAACUUUAGCUCUUGAAGUCUAUGAAAUAGUAAAAUUUAUGCAGCUUCUGUAUUUUUUUUAGAUUUCCAGC
This 1109-nucleotide long non-coding RNA is filed under the name Nicotiana tabacum (common tobacco). RNAcentral's name for it is "long non-coding RNA (NTAB_LNC015612)". The record is from RNAcentral. Lineage: Eukaryota; Viridiplantae; Streptophyta; Magnoliopsida; Solanales; Solanaceae.